ACGCUGGCGGCGUGCCUAAUACAUGCAAGUAGAACGCUGAAGAGAGGAGCUUGCUCUUCUUGAAUGAGUUGCGAACGGGUGAGUAACGCGUAGGUAACCUGCCUUGUAGCGGGGGAUAACUAUUGGAAACGAUAGCUAAUACCGCAUAACAAUGGGUGACACAUGUCAUUUAUUUGAAAGGGGCAAUUGCUCCACUACAAGAUGGACCUGCGUUGUAUUAGCUAGUAGGUGAGGUAACGGCUCACCUAGGCGACGAUACAUAGCCGACCUGAGAGGGUGAUCGGCCACACUGGGACUGAGACACGGCCCAGACUCCUACGGGAGGCAGCAGUAGGGAAUCUUCGGCAAUGGGGGCAACCCUGACCGAGCAACGCCGCGUGAGUGAAGAAGGUUUUCGGAUCGUAAAGCUCUGUUGUAAGUCAAGAACGAGUGUGAGAGUGGAAAGUUCACACUGUGACGGUAGCUUACCAGAAAGGGACGGCUAACUACGUGCCAGCAGCCGCGGUAAUACGUAGGUCCCGAGCGUUGUCCGGAUUUAUUGGGCGUAAAGCGAGCGCAGGCGGUUUGAUAAGUCUGAAGUUAAAGGCUGUGGCUCAACCAUAGUUCGCUUUGGAAACUGUCAAACCUGAGUGCAGAAGGGGAGAGUGGAAUUCCAUGUGUAGCGGUGAAAUGCGUAGAUAUAUGGAGGAACACCGGUGGCGAAAGCGGCUCUCUGGUCUGUAACUGACGCUGAGGCUCGAAAGCGUGGGGAGCGAACAGGAUUAGAUACCCUGGUAGUCCACGCCGUAAACGAUGAGUGCUAGGUGUUGGAUCCUUUCCGGGAUUCAGUGCCGCAGCUAACGCAUUAAGCACUCCGCCUGGGGAGUACGACCGCAAGGUUGAAACUCAAAGGAAUUGACGGGGGCCCGCAC
RNAcentral lists this ribosomal RNA (911 nucleotides) under uncultured bacterium. RNAcentral describes it as "bacterial SSU rRNA". It matches the Rfam family "Bacterial small subunit ribosomal RNA", at positions 33 to 926 of the family's 1533-position model. The record is from RNAcentral.